AAAAUAAAGAAUACAAUAGUAAUACUAAUAAUAAUAUACAUGUAAUAAUGCUAUUGUUUAUAUGUUGUGUGAAAGAAAAGCUACUGAGAUCUGUUGCAUUGAAUUUACCUUUGUGUGGGGAAGUGCUGUUUUUUUCGUUGGCAGAUGUUGUGUUGUUGUGUAGUAACUGAUUAGAUAAACCUCCCUCUAUUCCCUGUCACCCUGUUCUCUGUUCAUUAAACUAACAUGCUUUGGAGAGUGGCCUAGCUUCCUUUCAGUAGCAUCCAUUAAACUCACAGAAACUGGUCUUGUAGAACAUGUAGUGAAUGUGACCUCAAUUUUGAGUGUUAACUUCAUCCAAGACAGUUGGUGUGUAUGUUUGUGUUUGUGCACAUUUUACUAUCCUGGUGGGGACCAAAAAUACUCGCAGGGAUAACAAACAAGGAAACAAGGAACAUUUUACCUUGAGAAAACAUUAUGCCUGUUCCUAUAAUGGAUUUGGGUAGCAUUUACAUUUGGGUUAUGUUUAGUACUAUGGCUAAGUUUUUGGGUUUACGAGAUGUUGAGCAGAGAACAGAAUUUUUAAUGGGAAUAAUUUUUUAUGUCCCCACAAGGAUAGAGAUUUAAAAAAUGUGUGUGCGUAUCAUUGUUUUUUAAUGUUGUGGGGUGGGGUUGAAGGUUCAUCCAUGGACAGAAUUGUCUCUAGACUGUGCCUUUCAUGAUGGUGCUGAAAACGAAUAAAUCAAAGAAGAUAUCUUACUUUCAAAACAUUGAUGGCAAUAUGCCCAUUUCAAUAUGGAAGUGUGUGUUGACAGUCGACAAUACUGUAAAACAUGCUCGUUUGUGUGUAUGUGUGUGCCUUGGGUGUAUGUUUGUCUGUACCUCUGAUAUGCCAAGAAAUACAUCAAAAUGCAGAAGUGAUCCAUUUUGAAGUGUCAGGACCAAAAAGGCUUGUGGAAAUGGUAAAGUGGUCAUGCAGUCACAUGGCUCAACAACCAAAAUGUGUAUUUUUACUAACUGGGCACUGAAAUGGAAAUUUCAAACUGCCACCAUCUUAUGUUGGAAACCAGUUAAGUGUAAUGUAUGAGAUUUUUGCCUUUGAUUUCAUUUGUUAUAUCCUUUAAUUGAUGUCAAGCAAUAGGGGUGUUCUCCCCAAUGUGCCAGCAAUAAACAAAGUGAUUUUUAUCCUCUGAGCAACUGAAUGUUGGGUUACAUCAGAGUAAUUUCCCAAAUUAAACUAUUGCCUAUACGGCACUACUUUUGACUAGUGGUGCACUAUGAAUAACAUAGGGUGUUAUUUGGGAAUUAACUUUCAAAGUACACGUUUUAAUUACCAUCCCAUGUGAGCGCCUUGCAUUCUAUUUGCCACCUUUUGGAUGCUAAUUGUUCUCAAAUUAAUUAUAUGUCUCAAAUGGCACUGUAUUCCCUAUAUGACGCACUCUCUUUGAACAGUGCUCGUGGGGCUCUGUUCAAAAAUAGUGCAAAUUGUUGGUAUUAUGGUGUCACUUGGUACAGAACUACUGUUGUAGGCCUAUGCAUAUGUGUGUCCUAUUUUUUCAGAAAAUACUGCUCUGGCGUAUACAGAAUGUAUAUGUUUCUCCUCAAGAUCUUUAUGGAAAUACCUCAGCGUGUUGCAUCUGGAAGUUAAAACAAAAUGCAGUUAUCCAGUUGUGCCACAUGAGUGCCCACUUGCCUGGGAAAAGAUUCCUCAGACAGUUCCUCCAAACCCUGCGCCUCUAAUGUGGUUUGCUGUAUAUCAGACUUAAUAAGGUACAAAUGAUCAAUUGCUUUGGUACAAGUAUAAUGCACAGUUUUCUGUUUUUUUUCCCUGAUAAUGAAAUUGUUGUGACACUUUUAGAAGUAUAAUUGUAUGUACAGAAAAUACCUUUUGUCUUAACACUUAUCUGAUCCCAGUCC
Long non-coding RNA from Esox lucius (northern pike), 1896 nucleotides. The record is from Ensembl. Lineage: Eukaryota; Metazoa; Chordata; Actinopteri; Esociformes; Esocidae.